Gasterosteus aculeatus aculeatus (three-spined stickleback) is the source of this 2062-nucleotide non-coding RNA. NCBI's taxonomy places the organism in Eukaryota, Metazoa, Chordata, Actinopteri, Perciformes, Gasterosteidae. The record is from RefSeq and is a predicted model, not a curated record.
CACUGAAAAAACGAACUUGGUGGUGUAGUAAAAUAUACUAAUUAAACUGUCCUAAUGUCUACAAUUAAAUUUUUCGUUUCUGCGGGAACUAGAUUUUGUCAAGUAAAAUUUCAUGUAUGUACACAAUUUAUUUAUGUAUUUAAAAUGGCUGUGUGGAAGGAGUAAGUCUUAUUAUGGAUGUUUUCAUAACAUUUAAAUGUUUUUUAGUCUCUGCUAGAAACACUAAAAUACUGAGUAAAUUUUACGACACUAUUUUAGAGUGCGUUUGAAUCAGCGCAUGCGCAUUGGGACAAACGAAAGUACCGCGCGGAUGUCCAUUGUCCGUCCGUUCGUUGGCAGCAGACAGAGUUGUGAAUAUCUCCGGAAUCUCUCAGGUAAGUAACAGCUUUAUCCAUUAAAUAAUUUAUUAUCAGUUUAAAACGCGUUUUGGUGAUUAGUUUGAAGCACUGUAUGGACUGCACACCGAGCGGUCUACACCAAGGUUUGUGUGAUGUAGCUUAAUGCUAGCUAGCUAGUUAUUACCCAGUUCAUUCCACCAGAGUCGCACACCGCGCGGUUAAUUUGCGAGAUACUAUAUCUUAUUCAGAGCUAUUGUAUUUUGUCUCAUGUACUGUCCCGUGUAGUGCGAAUAUAACACAACGCUACGCCAAAGUUUUUCGUUUUUUUAGUUAUUGUCUAUGUGCUUUCACCUCGAAACAUCAUCUCAACUUUUAGCAUGGCGGCCGCGUUGCGGUGUAUCGUUGAAGCUGCGUGCCACGGUCAAGAGACAAACACAACAUGAAAAUGGCUGUAAAUUAAUCUAUAAAUUAUAAGUUGCCCUUAAAAAUAUGUGUUUUCAUUCACAGGCGACUGUUUUUGUAUUUAGCCGGCUGGGACAUGAGGUGACCAGAGAGUCAGGAGCGCUGGGAUGUUCAGUGACUAAUCAAAUACUGCACCGUUGUGAUUAGGCAAGUACAAAUACACUGCAUGUAUGCAUGACACAAUAUUGCUGUUUCUCACUCUCUGUAACAUACUUCUCCUUUCCACACAUGGAAACAAACCACUGCUCCUUGCAAGUAUUCGUAUCUUCUGACAUGAUAGUAUAUUGUGUACAAAUUAUUGUUUGCAACUGAUGCUAUUACUCCUUUCACAGAACCCAAGCACUGACAUGUGACGUGACGCAGUUAUCAGUGGCCUCAUACUAUUCCUUGGUGAAAAAGAAGAGAAACUUUUCGAAGAUUGCCUGGAGGACAAUCGCAGUGAUGCCACUCAACACAUAGUCAAGAUCCUGGUUGUCCAUGGUACUGAUGGAGAAGAACCAGUAGAUGUUUCCAUCAUUCUUGAAGGGAAGGAGGUAUUGACAUGAUGCAACAGCACAGCCAAAGCUUGCACGUUGCUAAUGGGACUGAUUUAUUCCCUGAACCUUGCCUACCCCUCGACUCUGCGCUACACCUUUGAGGUGUUUCAAAAACUUUUCCUGGAACUGAAUGGGAUAAAGCUGUCACCAAAAGUACAUCUUUAAAGUUGAAGUUGCUGUCUGAAAGGAGUUUUCUUUCUUAAAUGUUCCUAAUGUUGUCAACAAAGGCAACUGCUGUCAUUCAUGCUCACAAGGUAAAAAAAAAGUUAAAAAUAACCUUUGUUUUAAAGGUUUUAACAGAGGAUUUGAUGUUGUCCUCAAACUUUAAUGUUUUAACCGAAUGCUAAUAUAAAUAUGUUAAUGGAUGUUGUUGUUUAGAAUGUUGUUCAUGUCAGUACAGCAUAUUUUGUCAGGUCAAACCCUCAAUCUGUUUUGUCACCUGAUGUGCCCUGUUUAGUUUAAUGCGUCCAGGAGUCAAAAACAUUUUGAUUUUCCAGUGAUAUGCUUUUUUUCUGUAAAGCGUAAUGAUCACUCAGUAAAGGUAAACUUUUUUCUUUAUUGAUGCUUGAUUGAUGCUUUAUUGAUUUACUGCUGCUGAGAUUUCAUUUAAUUUUUUGUCAUGUGAAAUGUUGACUGCUGUUUCAUGUACAGUUCUACAUAGCUGUAUAAAAUGAGGUGUUACGUAAGGUACCUGACAAAGGUUUAUGAAUAAAUAAUGGAAUUGUA